Molecule: ribosomal RNA, 220 nt
Filed under: uncultured bacterium
Lineage: Bacteria
Description: partial 16S ribosomal RNA
Rfam family: Bacterial small subunit ribosomal RNA
Source: RNAcentral
GCAAGUCGAGCGCACCCUUUGGGGCGAGCGGCGGACGGGUUAGUAACGCGUGGGAACGUACCCUUCUCUACGGAAUAGCCUCGGGAAACUGAGAGUAAUACCGUAUACGCCCUUCGGGGGAAAGAUUUAUCGGAGAAGGAUCGGCCCGCGUUAGAUUAGAUAGUUGGUGGGGUAAUGGCCUACCAAGUCUACGAUCUAUAGCUGGUUUUAGAGGAUGAUC